AACGCACCUUGCGCUCCUUGGUAUUCCGAGGAGCAUGCCUGUUUGAGUGUCAUUAAAUCCUCAACCCCAUCUCCCUUGUGGAUGAAAUGAGGUUGGAUAUGGAAGCUGCUGGCUGUUGUUGUUCAGCUCUUCUGAAAUAUAUUAGCAGGGCCUGCUGCAUUGUAAGGCUGCCGCUUGGUAUUGAUAGUUGUCUUACCAGGUGUCUGAGUUAGCAAUGUGCUCCCAGCUUCUAGUCGUCUCUCUGGGACAAUAAUCUGACGAUUUGACCUCAAAUCAGGUAGGACUACCCGCUGAACUUAA
Molecule: unclassified non-coding RNA, 300 nt
Filed under: uncultured fungus
Lineage: Eukaryota; Fungi
Description: partial contains 5.8S ribosomal RNA, internal transcribed spacer 2, and large subunit ribosomal RNA
Rfam family: 5.8S ribosomal RNA (bases 1-52)
Source: RNAcentral